RNAcentral lists this ribosomal RNA (468 nucleotides) under uncultured bacterium. RNAcentral describes it as "bacterial SSU rRNA". It matches the Rfam family "Bacterial small subunit ribosomal RNA", at positions 28 to 507 of the family's 1533-position model. The record is from RNAcentral.
GACGAACGCUGGCGGCACGCCUAACACAUGCAAGUCGAACGGACUUAAACGGAGCUUGCUCUGUUUAAGUUAGUGGCGGACGGGUGAGUAACACGUGAGCAACCUGCCUUUCUGAGGGGGAUAACGUUUGGAAACGAACGCUAAUACCGCAUAACAUAUAUUUAUCGCAUGAUAGAUAUAUCAAAGGAGCAAUCCGCAGAAAGAUGGGCUCGCGUCUGAUUAGCUAGUUGGUGAGGUAAUGGCUCACCAAGGCAACGAUCAGUAGCCGGACUGAGAGGUUGAACGGCCACAUUGGGACUGAGACACGGCCCAGACUCCUACGGGAGGCAGCAGUGGGGAAUAUUGCACAAUGGGGGAAACCCUGAUGCAGCGAUGCCGCGUGGAGGAAGAAGGUUUUCGGAUUGUAAACUCCUGUCUUCAGGGACGAUAAUGACGGUACCUGAGGAGGAAGCACCGGCUAACUACGUG